AUCCGCUUUAAGUAUACCGCGUUUUCGUUGCACGAUAAUUUUAUUGCACUUUAGUUUUAGACCGAUGACGAUUUUUUUUUCGCGUGCGCAUGUCACGUAAUCGUUCGCUCCUAAUCUUUUCGCGAUUCGAAAAUGCCUAUUCGUAUGCACAAAGAAACACGCGAGUGUCUACUUUAUAUUGUGAUAAUAUUACUAUAGGUACCUAAUAUACCAGUCGCGUGAUCGUAUUUUUCGAGAAUUUAUCAUUUUAUUACAUCUGCAUUACAUCUUACACCGUAUAAGCCGCGCGCAAAACUCGCCCGACUAAUCUGAAGCUAGCGCUUUUCGAUCGUCAAUUAAUUCGCCGCCCAAUAUUUUUAUGUCAAAUACCUCCAACGACUAUAUUAUACAUUAUUUUGGUAUAAUCGAAUAAUUAUUUUUUUUUAUUUUUUUUUUGUUUAUGCUAUGUUCGAUUGCAAUCGCAUUAUUUUUCUAUCUAGUGUUUGUGUCGUGCUAACCGACAAUAAAGUUUUUUAAACAAAUGUUAAUGAGUUCCAAAAAAUAUCUCCUGUUUAUGCAAUUUAACUCAUAAUCUCCAAAAAAAUUGAUUUUUUUUUUUUAACUUAUUGAAAUAAAAUCAAAUAAUGUACAUAAUGUACGCGUUGCGUAGUCAUUCAAAACGAACAGGUAGUGUUACGAACAAAUUUUGGAAUGUCGAGGUUAACACUUCUCAGUUUCUGUUUUGGUUUCAAAUAACACUGUAUAAGUAUUCCAUUAUCAAACAAUAGUAGUAUAGUAAAAAGUCCAAAAUCCAAUGCUAGCGAAGGCAUGUGAUCAAUUUAAUUUAAUUUAUUACAGUAUAAACAAAAUUAAGUUUGUAACGUUAUUAAUUUAAUCUGGACGAAAAUUAACAUUUGAAAUAAAUGAUUUAUUUGAUUUUUAUUAUUUCUUUUAUGGUAGCCAGCAAUUUUUAGGAAGAUUAUGGAACCAUUAUGUUUAUCUAGUUGUCUAGAUAACGCAAAACGGUAAUUAUAAUAUUGAGAUAAUUCAGAGUGAAAUCAUAUAGUUAAAUAUUAUUAUAAUUUAUAGGUAUAGGUAUAAUAAUAGUAAAUAUGUCUACCGUAUUGAAUAAGAAAAAUCAAUUCGUACAAAAUAUUAUUACUGUUACGAAAUUUUUGUAAAUUGCAGAGAUUACAGCGUAAUUGAAAUACAUACCACAAAAA
Cinara cedri is the source of this 1202-nucleotide non-coding RNA. The record is from the annotation of a GenBank genome assembly. NCBI's taxonomy places the organism in Eukaryota, Metazoa, Arthropoda, Insecta, Hemiptera, Aphididae.